UCCGGGAUAACGUAAAGGGCAGAGCACGUCGCGCUUUGGCCGCGAAGAUCGGGGUUCGAAUCCCUGUCCCGGAA
This 74-nucleotide transfer RNA is filed under the name Actinomycetota bacterium. RNAcentral's name for it is "tRNA-Gln". It matches the Rfam family "tRNA". From Rfam's summary of the family: Transfer RNA (tRNA) molecules are approximately 80 nucleotides in length. Their secondary structure includes four short double-helical elements and three loops (D, anti-codon, and T loops). The record is from RNAcentral. Lineage: Bacteria; Bacillati; Actinomycetota.